This 396-nucleotide ribosomal RNA is filed under the name uncultured Magnetobacterium sp. RNAcentral describes it as "bacterial SSU rRNA". It matches the Rfam family "Bacterial small subunit ribosomal RNA", at positions 514 to 909 of the family's 1533-position model. Lineage: Bacteria; Pseudomonadati; Nitrospirota; Thermodesulfovibrionia; Thermodesulfovibrionales; Magnetobacteriaceae (SeqCode). The record is from RNAcentral.
GCCGCGGUAAGACUGAGGUGGCAAGCGUUGUUCGGAAUUACUGGGCUUAAAGGGCGUGUAGGCGGUGAGGUAAGUCUGAGGUGGAAUCCUAUAGCUUAACUAUAGAACUGCCUUGGAUACUGUUUCACUUGAGUCAGUGAGAGGAGGGCGGAAUUCCCGGCGUAGCGGUGAAAUGCGUAGAUAUCGGGAGGAAGGCCGGUGGCGAAGGCGGCCCUCUGGCGCUGAACUGACGCUCGCGCGUAGUAGCCGUGGGUAGCAAACAGGAUUAGAUACCCUGGUAGUCCACGCCCUAAACGGUGGGCGUUAGGUGUAGGGCUCGUAAGGGUUCUGUGCCGAAGGGAAACCAUUAAAUGCCCCGCCUGGGGAGUACGGCCGCAAGGUUGAAACUCAAAUGAA